This 818-nucleotide long non-coding RNA is filed under the name Struthio camelus australis. RNAcentral's name for it is "lncRNA (ENSSCUG00000013764.1)". The record is from RNAcentral. Lineage: Eukaryota; Metazoa; Chordata; Aves; Struthioniformes; Struthionidae.
CUGCAUUUUUGGUCCAGGCAGGGAAGUACAGUACCCUAAGUUAACUCUCUGCUUUUCUGCCUAGGAGUGAUGAUGGGCACAAGGAGAGGGAGCCCAUCAUGGAUUUCACAGCUGUUACCUGCUGGUCUGCAAAUCUGACAUACUCGCACUGAGCUGCUUCCAAGCACAGCGAAUCUUGCGGAUCAGCAUCGACCAUGUCUGUGUUGGUUGUUUCACCUUUCCAGACAAAUCUCUGGACAAAGUCAGCUUGGAAGGGACAGAGUGCGUCUGCACAAAGAGUGAGAACGUCCUGUCCAAAGCCUAACUGCAGCUGCCUAGAACCACGGCUUCUUGCUUCUGCCACUGCACCUCAAAUAAAUGGAGAGCUCAUUGGAGAGGGAAUAUGUCAUUCUGAUGAAUGGACCAGCUACAGAGGAUGAAGAAAGUAACGCCUCACGUGAGCAAGGCUUUUCUAUGUGAGGACCGUACAGCUGCAUGUCCCCUCAGUAUUUCAGGUUCAUGGAUGCCCCCUUGGAGCCUUUGGAUGUGGAUCAGUGCCUCAUUCUGUGGGCUGCUACACUCACAACUAGCAAGGAGAACACUCCAAUCAAGCUCCCAGUCUAAAUAUCAGGGGAGAAGGUUUUCUAAUCUUUGGCAGGAGGCUGAGGGGUGAGAAGAGGAUUCAAUACAAAACUUAAUGGGUUUUACAUUUCACAUGUCCAGAGGGUGAAGGUACUGCCUGUCUUUGUGCCAGACUCCCCAAUCUGUUCUAUGCUCUGUAUUCUCUGCAAAUUAAGCCCACAGUCAGCCUUUAGAAAAUAAAAUAAAUGUGAAAACCA